RNAcentral lists this long non-coding RNA (3524 nucleotides) under Homo sapiens (human). RNAcentral describes it as "non-protein coding MIR99AHG:41". The stretch from base 2793 to 2864 matches the Rfam family "mir-10 microRNA precursor family". The record is from RNAcentral. Lineage: Eukaryota; Metazoa; Chordata; Mammalia; Primates; Hominidae.
AGCACAUAGCACUGGCUGGUUAUAAAGGACUUGUCUAGGGGAGAGCCUGUAGGUACUCCAUUGUCUGGUAAAGUUCAUAUGACUGCAUUCUUUUUGCAAGGGGGGUGGAGGGAGAGCGGGGAAGGAGGGGGUGUCAGCUCAACUGUAAAAGCUGCACAGAUUUUUUUUCUUUCUCUCUCUCUGCCUCUCCAUAGAUUGUUUCUGUUUCAUGCCCUGUCUCAUUUCGCAUAGCUAAAAAAGAAUGCUAAUUAAGAUCCCUUGUCUUAACCUGAAAAAUAAUGACUCGGCUGUAAUUAGAAAUCUGGUGAGAGUUUAAAAAUUCUGGUAGGGGACCAAAAACAUCAGUUACGGUGCUUAGGAAGAAAAUGAAGAAUUAUUUUUCUGAAAUCAAGAUGGAUCUGAGAACGCUGUCUGGGCUUGGUACCAAGAGCUGGUAUUUCACAGCAGCGACCGCCUCACAGACGAGCUGUGGGAAGCAGGAGGGAGACUCUCUCUUAGGGUGCCACUACUAUGGAGACACAGCUGGGCUGAACAAGAUUUGCUUCAAACGACAACAAGAGAGACAGAAAGUAUCUGGUUCAACCGCUGCCCGAGCAGGCAGGCACCAGAAGAGCUAGCAGCCAAUCCGGCCAUGCUCGAAGCCAGCUCUGCAGCUCAGCCAAUCAGUGACAUCAUUGCUUUCUUUAGCUUGCCCAUGGUGAUGUGAAGAUGAGAAGAAAUAGCAAGGCCCAACCAGUUCUUCAUCUGGAGACAGUUCAACGUUCUGCAAACCAGGACAGUACUACAGAAGGACUAAGUAUAUAGGAAACUUGACUUAUUUAAAUAAGGCAGUGAAAAAAAUAGAAUAUGGGGAGUAAAACAACCUCUGAAGCUAAGUCUGCAUAUAUAAUAACUGGAUCUUCAGGAAUUUUACUGGGAUAAUUAUCCAAAUAAAUUGCAAGCAUUCUAUCCAAAUGGAGCUCUUUCUGAGAUGAAGAGAAUUCUCAAUGUCAAGAUUUGAACAAGAAGAGAAUGGAAUACACAAUAUGGACAUCCAUAAAAAUUCAUCAGAGAGCAUUUUACUACUGAGCUGCAAAGGGAAAAACUUAAAAUGGAUAUGAAAAGUGAAGAAAGUGAUCAUAGGAGAAAACCAUUUCAGGUAAAAAUAAAAAACAAAGAGCAAAUAAGAUUUACUGUUUUUAAAGAAAAACAACAUUCUUUUGACUGUGUUUUGUUAUAAGAAUUAAUUUCAUAUUCUUUAUGAGUGUAACUGUUGAAAUUUUAUUGAUGGUUUUCAUUUGAAAAUGUGUGCUAUGACCUACCUUUGUGAAAAAUUUCUUGUGGUCAAUUGGGCAGUUUGUGUCCCAUUGAAUAUAUGUCUGUGUAUCCAUACGCUUAAGAUAGGUGCAAUACGGUUUACUAGAAAGCUUUAUAGGAAAAGAAAAAAAUUAUAUUUUCUUAUUUGUUGUACCAUAUAAAAGGAAGUGAAAUCAGGAGGAGGGGAAUAAGGUCAUGCUUUUUCAUCUUUUUUACAUGACCUGAUAAGACAAUGAAACCAAAACAUGCUUUCUUAUAGUUAUGGUAAAACUAAACCCAAUGCUGCCUCUUAUUUCACAUUUGCAUUUAUAAAUAUAUGUUGAAAUAUUUUUACUACAACUGAAUGUAUGAUUGUUGAUUAUUUACUAUAGUUUUUAAUAAUUAUGAGGACAAUUUAAGAAUAAAUAAUGGUUUAAAAUUAUGUAGAACACAUGAUCUAUAUAAAGGCUAUAAAACGUAUUUAUUUCAAAAUAUGCAAAAUCACUAAGCAAUUAGUAUGUAGUAUUAUUUUACACAAUAAAGAUAUAAUUAGGAAAUGCUAAGUGAUUAUAGAUGUGAAAUGAUUAAUGAUUGUACAACUUAUCAUUUUGUUGCAGUUGAGUUUACAAUCUUAAAAAAACGUGUAUGUGGCUGGCUUUAUGUUUACUCGUUUGUGUGUUUGCUUGUUGUCUGGUGGUUUAAAACAUUUUUUAGUAAUAUUUUAUUUUUGCCCAACCUGUUGACCAGAUGAGAGUUGUAUGUAGCCAUGCAUUUUAAGUGUAUCUUUUUUGAACAAUAAGUUUAAAUAUAUUUUAUUUAGGAAAGAAGAUAUCCUAUGUCAUGUAAUACAUCUGGAGUAUAAAUGUUAGUGUGGAGUAUUAGUAAUCAUGCCAUUAUCGUGCCAUUUAGUUUAGUUUUAUAUUAACUCAUCCAAAUAUUGUAAAUUUUAGCACCAUUCCGACUAUAGACACAGAUGUAUAUAUUUAAGGCUGAUAAUAACUUCCUGUAUUCUCUAGCUAGUGAACAAGAUCUUACUGUUUUAUGAGAAAGUUAUAAUGUUACCAAUUCCUUGAAACCAGUAACUAAACUAGUUUUAUAAAAAUUAAAAUAAGCACGGUCUAACUCAUACACAAUUAACUUAAUAGUUAAUUUGGUUUUAAUUAUAGGCUCGUAAUACUACAUUCAUGCCUCACAAUUAUAUAAUUCAUACAUGCAUGUAUGGAUUCUUUUUUCUUUUAAAACUCAAUUAGAAUAGUUUAAUUCCAAAAUAUUUACUAUUGAAACAAAAGCAGUUCGUGAAAAAUUUUUCAAUAAACUACUUUUUAAAUUCUCAUGCAUAUAAAUUUGUAUUUAGUUUUGAAUAUUUAUGAAGGCCUUUAAUGGAGAAUAUGCAUCCUUAGAACUCAGCAUUUAAAACAUUUAUACUAAAGGAUCAAUAUUAUUUUUGACUCUUAAUUGCAUCAGAUAUUUACAACAAAUUCUAUAUUAAUAGGGGGCCCAUGCAAGAUGUUGCCCAUUGGCAUAAACCCGUAGAUCCGAUCUUGUGGUGAAGUGGACCGCACAAGCUCGCUUCUAUGGGUCUGUGUCAGUGUGGUAAUCUGACAAAAUGCUAUACACAGUGCCGUUCAACAAUAGUUCAGUAAAAUCCUGUUAAACUCCAGUUGAUUAUAUACUUUUGAAGUCAUUAUAUUUUCCUUUGUUUUUAAUGUUUAUUUUAAUCAUUGUCUGUCUUACAAGGCAGGCUUCAAUUCUCAACAACUUGGAAGCGUUUAUAUCACACCCAUUCAAGUUCGAUUCCAUGUACAGUAAAUUGCAUAAGAAAGUUGAACCUUUAUAGCAGGGUUUGGACCAGGAUCUGAAUAGAUUCUGUUCAGAAACUUCAGUGCAUACUGUAGUGCUUAGUGUACCUCUUCAACUUCAGUAAGAAAAUUAAAGACUACCAUUGGAUUUAUAUGUUUUUAUUGAGCCUAUUUCUCCUGAAAAAAUGAGGCUGAAUGCAAUUGACUUUUACUAUUAAUUGCGACUAGAACUAUGGCAGGUUAGAUGGUCAGAAGACAUUUUACGUGACCUAUGCUGGAAACCCAAGUGUUUAGGUUAGUCCUAUGAGAAACAGUUAGCAGCAAAGUUUACUGGUAAAAUGUUAGAAUAUUAUAUCUAUAUCCUUGCCAAGCCCUUAGGUGUAUGGCUGCCAUAUUUGGAGGAGCUGACUGAAGAUAUGAUAAGGAGUUUGAAGCAACAUUGGAAGCUGU